CUACGGGACGCUGCAGUGGGGAAUAUUGCACAAUGGGCGAAAGCCUGAUGCAGCAACGCCGCGUGAGGGACGACGGCCUUCGGGUUGUAAACCUCUUUUAGCAGGGAAGAAGCGAAAGUGACGGUACCUGCAGAAAAAGCACCGGCUAACUACGUGCCAGCAGCCGGGUAAUACGUAGGGUGCAAGCGUUGUCCGGAAUUAUUGGGCGUAAAGAGCUCGUAGGCGGUUUGUCGUGUCUGCUGUGAAAAUCCGAGGCUCAACCUCGGACCUGCAGUGGGUACGGGCAAACUAGAGUGCGGUAGGGGAGAUUGGAAUUCCUGGUGUAGCGGUGGAAUGCGCAGAUAUCAGGAGGAACACCAAUGGCGAAGGCAGAUCUCUGGGCCGUAACUGACGCUGAGGAGCGAAAGCGUGGGGAGCGAACAGGAUUAGAUACCCCUGUAGUC
This 443-nucleotide ribosomal RNA is filed under the name uncultured bacterium. RNAcentral describes it as "partial 16S ribosomal RNA". It matches the Rfam family "Bacterial small subunit ribosomal RNA", at positions 339 to 795 of the family's 1533-position model. The record is from RNAcentral.